UCCUCUGUAGUUCAGUCGGUAGAACGGCGGACUGUUAAUCCGUGUGUCACUGGUUCGAGUCCAGUCAGAGGAGCCA
RNAcentral lists this transfer RNA (76 nucleotides) under Klebsiella aerogenes. Its description in RNAcentral is "tRNA-Asn". It matches the Rfam family "tRNA". Rfam says of the family: Transfer RNA (tRNA) molecules are approximately 80 nucleotides in length. Their secondary structure includes four short double-helical elements and three loops (D, anti-codon, and T loops). Further hydrogen bonds mediate the characteristic L-shaped molecular structure. tRNAs have two regions of fundamental functional importance: the anti-codon, which is responsible for specific mRNA codon recognition, and the 3' end, to which the tRNAs corresponding amino acid is attached (by aminoacyl-tRNA synthetases). tRNAs cope with the degeneracy of the genetic code in two manners: having more than one tRNA (with a specific anti-codon) for a particular amino acid; and 'wobble' base-pairing, i.e. permitting non-standard base-pairing at the 3rd anti-codon position. RNAcentral also lists the same sequence under 8 other names. Lineage: Bacteria; Pseudomonadati; Pseudomonadota; Gammaproteobacteria; Enterobacterales; Enterobacteriaceae. The record is from RNAcentral.